Molecule: non-coding RNA, 594 nt
Organism: Biomphalaria pfeifferi
Lineage: Eukaryota; Metazoa; Mollusca; Gastropoda; Planorbidae
Source: the annotation of a GenBank genome assembly
UUAUGAGUUCUAGGAAAUAUUUUGUCAUUGAGAUACUCUUAAAAUAUGCCAGUACAUGUUUUUAAAUUUAAUUUCUUAUUUAAAAUGCUGUCUGGAGAAAGAAUGUUUAGUAUUACUACUAUUCGUAUAUGAACCUUGAAUGAACAGAACAUUAUUGACAUUUCUUCAAGACUUAACAAGGAGUAGUACUCUGAUGCUACAUUAGAUUCAUUUAUAGUGACAUUUAGAUGACUCCAUGAUUUGUACUUUCUAUCUAAAAUGAAUCCACGAGAUUCUAAUCCUAUCUUCCAAGCUUUUUAAAUACUUUUGUGUCGCUAGACUUUUUCUUGUCUGGGUCAUCUCUUUCCUUACAUUUUAAAAUAUAUUUGGUGCUUUUCCAAAACUUGUGUCUGUUGAGAAUGCAAAAUUUGAUGAAAAUGUUUAUUAUUUUAUAAUUUCAACUUGCAAUUUUAUUUUAAAUUCAGGUUUCUCAAAAACGUUAGAACUCUGAAUGGACACCUAAUAUUAGCCUGGACAAGCCUGAUUGAUAUAAUUUUUUUAUUAUUUUUUUUUUGUUUUCCUAUUUUCUUUUCAGGUGAAUGACUCUUCAAUUUC